UCUAGAAAUUUGCACAAUCGACGAAAGUUGGAUGCAGCGACGCCACGUGGAGGAUGAAGCCCUUCGGGGUGUAAACUCCUGUCAGAGGGGAAGAAGGCCUGGCCAUUAAUACCGGCCGUGGCUUGACGGUACCCUCAAAGGAAGCUCCGGCUAACUACGUGCCAGCAGCCGCGGUAAUACGUAGGGAGCGAGCGUUGUUCGGAUUUACUGGGCGUAAAGGGCAGGUAGGUGGGGACAUAAGUCGGUUGUGAAAUCCUCUGGCUCAACCAGAGAAUGGCAGCCGAAACUGUGUUUCUUGAGUCCAGCAGAGGGAAUCGGAAUCCUAGGUGUAGCGGUGAAAUGCGUAGAUAUCUAGGAGAACACCAGUGGCGAAGGCGGAUUCCUGGGCUGGUACUGACACUGAGCUGCGAAAGCAAGGGGAGCGAACAGG
RNAcentral lists this ribosomal RNA (430 nucleotides) under uncultured bacterium. Its description in RNAcentral is "bacterial SSU rRNA". It matches the Rfam family "Bacterial small subunit ribosomal RNA", at positions 355 to 776 of the family's 1533-position model. The record is from RNAcentral.